CUGUUCGGGGCUCAGGAAUUAAGAGGUUACAAGAAGGCCAGCCUGCCAAAUCCAAGGAUGGAGACUGCGGAGCACUUAUGGCAACUUCAAGAACAGGGCCUCUCUGCUGUCUUUUGAAGGCAGAAAGGAUUGCCCAAAGAACUCAGAAGGUAAAGAAUGAAGACGCUGGGGAAGAAUGCCUUGCUUGUUCUCACUAGUGCUUAUCAAGCAAACUGAUUCAUAUCAUGCCUACUCUUGAAGAAGAGAAGUGUUUUAUAUACUUCGGCCUUCAUUGCCAAUUCUGUGAUUGGAGCCUCCUCUCCCAUGUAAUGGGGAGCUAGCUAAGGAUGGGGAUCAUGUUUUCUCCUUCUCACGACUCUACAGUAUGGACCAGCACAUGGUUAGAUUCCCAGCAGAUAGUCAGCAAAGGGCGGUGAGUGAGGAAGAAGGAACUAUCAGACAGGAGAGAUAAUGCCUAUGACAGCUGCUAUCUGCUUUCUUCUAGAUCAAGGGAUGGAAAACUACAGUCACC
Suricata suricatta (meerkat) is the source of this 511-nucleotide long non-coding RNA. RefSeq lists it as uncharacterized. The record is from RefSeq and is a predicted model, not a curated record. NCBI's taxonomy places the organism in Eukaryota, Metazoa, Chordata, Mammalia, Carnivora, Herpestidae. The transcript is spliced from 4 exons.